This 294-nucleotide long non-coding RNA is filed under the name Pan troglodytes (chimpanzee). Its description in RNAcentral is "lincRNA". Lineage: Eukaryota; Metazoa; Chordata; Mammalia; Primates; Hominidae. The record is from RNAcentral.
GGUGAAGAAAAGAAAAAGUGCAGAAAACCAUCUUUUCGAAAGAGCUUUCCAUCAUUCAGGCAACAGGUCACUCAGUGAAGAAACUGUGCCAGGAGACUGGGAAUAUAUUCUAAAUCCUUAAGCAAACUGUGCUGAAAACAAACUGCUGAAAGAAAAUAAGCAUUUGACUUUAAAACGAUGCCUCUGAAAAAAGGGACAUGCAGCAGCUGCCAGAUGUUCAUGAUCCCACCUCCCCUACUUAACAAAGGCACCUAUAUUUCACCAGAAAUAAAAUUUUAUUAGUAACAUGUCAAA